Long non-coding RNA from Drosophila biarmipes, 1245 nucleotides. RefSeq lists it as uncharacterized. The record is from RefSeq and is a predicted model, not a curated record. Lineage: Eukaryota; Metazoa; Arthropoda; Insecta; Diptera; Drosophilidae. The transcript is spliced from 3 exons.
AUUCACUUGUGUGGGUAGUUUUCACUGCGCAGCUAUUGGAUAUCUCCCUGCAAGCAUUUUCUAUCGCGGAAGGCACCUCUAGUGACUUCUAGAAGAUGAAAACUAUCGUCCGCGAUAUCUGGAGUCUGAAAGUGUCGCUUAAGUGACUCCGGGGAGUGCCGCCGAAGUGGCACAUUUCUUCCCGACGGGAGUGACUUCUGCGAUGCGAAUGCGAUAUCGCCGAAAUCACUUCUGGAAGUUACUUAGAAGUGACUUAACACACUCUUGUAGAAAAUACCAGAGGAGCUUUUCCCCAUUGGAAAUCUUGAAUAAAAAACUUGUUUUCACAUGUUAGACAAUAUUUUGCAUUUAUAUUUCCAUAAGGUCUUAGAGCGCUCGUAGACACGGUCCUUGGCAUAUCGGAAAUGCUGCUUAAUAAUUUUAUUUAUGUUCAGCUACGUUCACAUGACAAAUUUAAUAAGAAGCCACAUUUUUUAUAUUUAAAAUUAAAAUAAAUUUGGAGGAUUACCUUUUAUAAUUGGGUGGAGAAUCUUUGAAUGAUUAUUUCACUGCAAUUGAGCCAGGUAAUGUGAAAAUAUCUUGAAGUAAUCGUACAGCUUCACGUAAAUUCGCACUCUUCGUUGAGUUGGACAUUUUAAUGUGUUAUACAAUUUCAAAAAUUCCGAAAAACAAAACAACACACAAAUUUUAUACAAAACUGGACUGAUUACAAGCAAAAGAACAAUAAUGAAACCACAAGGUUAUCGAUGGUCGUAUUUUACGGUCGUUUUUUUUUUUUGGUACUGUUCUCUUGACAAACAAAUAGUAGUAAUCCUUGCCUCUUGCAUUUCUUGUCAGUUGAAUUUUUUAUUGUAAAGAGUAAAUGCCAUCAAUUUUACAUACCCGUUACUACUAUACUAGAUUCUUCAGAAAGUAUCUAACAGACAAUAGAUGCGGGAAAGCUACAAGCACGCGAACAUCGCAAAACUCUAGAACGUUUUGGACUUACAGACGGAAAAAAUAGGCCUCUAGGGAACAUAAGCUGGAAGAAGCCUCACCCACCCUUACCAGAAUGCAGGGCGUCUUCCUGCAGAAACGGUUGAACAACCCCGAUCUGUCUCCUACUUCCUCAAAGCCCAUGUCUACAUAUUGGGAGCCGAAGCUAACAGCAUGCGUCGAAAUAUGCUGCCAAUGUUAAGAAGGCGGUAACGAUACUUUGGUGGGUCAAGAAGGAAUCUUUAAACUAUUUUCUUUAAUAAAAACAAU